RNAcentral lists this unclassified non-coding RNA (365 nucleotides) under plant metagenome. RNAcentral's name for it is "partial contains 5.8S ribosomal RNA, internal transcribed spacer 2, and large subunit ribosomal RNA". The stretch from base 1 to 105 matches the Rfam family "5.8S ribosomal RNA", at positions 50 to 154 of the family's 154-position model. The record is from RNAcentral.
GAAAUGCGAUACGUAGUGUGAAUUGCAGAAUUCCGUGAACCAUCGAAUCUUUGAACGCAUAUUGCGCUCGAUGCUUCGGCCAAGAGCAUGUCUGCCUCAGCGUCGGGUUAAUAUCACUCUCCAAAUCCUCUGGGAUCAAUCGAGUGGACCUGGCUGUUCCAGAGUUUUGUUCAAUCUCGGUUGAACUGAAGCUGGAUCAGCUGAAGAGCAGAGGUUAGCACAAGGACCCGUUAAGGGCCGCAAUUGGGUAGGCAGUUUACUGCUUCUAAUUGUUGGCUUGGGACCAUGAGCUCGACCCUCUAAUCAGGAAUUAACCCUUAUUUUCUCGACCUGAGCUCAGGCAAGAACACCCGCUGAACUUAAGC